GUGAUUUUUCAAAGUUAACCUACUGCUGCUGUCCAAAACUGUUUUAGUGCAAGAUGUUGAUUACUAAAUUUAUAACUCCCUUAUUCCCUUUCUCUAUAAUAUUUCCCAUUAUUUUCACUUAUUUCCCUUCACUAAUAUAUCAAGAACAUAAGACUUUAUUUAAGAAAACUCUACUAUAGCAUCAUUUCCAUACUUUUUCAACAAUAACAAACUUAAAAAUAUAUUAAAAUCUUGAUGUUCUUACCUUAUGCUAUUGAUUUCAAUUUUUAACUUGAUUUUCUCUCGCCUCCAGCUUCUAUUUCUUGAAUCUAACUUGACAUUCUAGCUCCCCAUUGUCUCCUUAUUAUUUUUCUCUCUUGGAAGCUAUGGAAAUUCUUUUGAUUUCUAGGUGAAAAUAGUAAAUUUUUGGUGAAAGAACCAAAUUGUAAAGAAAGCAAAACUUUCUUU
RNAcentral lists this long non-coding RNA (447 nucleotides) under Gossypium raimondii (Peruvian cotton). RNAcentral's name for it is "long non-coding RNA (GRAI_LNC004773)". Lineage: Eukaryota; Viridiplantae; Streptophyta; Magnoliopsida; Malvales; Malvaceae. The record is from RNAcentral.